CGGGCGGGAGGGGCGAGAGGGUGAGGUGGAGCGGCCGCCGCCGCCGACGGAGGUCCCUCCCUCUGUGCCCUGCGAGGUGCCCUGGCGUCCCGAGACCGGCUAACAGGAAAUAAAUUAGCUUAGAAAACAAACGGACUACAGUUCAGAACUCUCAAGAAUAAAACAAGGUAAGGUUGAGGAGAGCAGGCUAGGGAACACAGGCCAGCUUCCUAUUUGGCACCUGUCUCCUGCUGGGGCAUUCCUUUCCUCAGUAUUCAUAAUCCAGACCUUUCCCGCUUCUCUGCAGUCAUGAUGCCACCUAUCCAAGAUCCAGGUGUCCUGCUGUGGAAAGCCAGGCCUGCUUAGGCAACUCCUCUCACCAUUAUUUCAAUACCUGCUACCUCAGCAGGAGCAGCAAUAGCUUCCCCACAAUUUAAGAUGGAUUAAAGUCCAAUACCACUUCUUCUGAAACAGCUUCUGCUGUUUCCUUUCUGUGACUUCUCAUAGUUCCAUUAAUAUCUGAAGGUUUUUGCUAAGCACUUAAAACUAAAUAUCCUAAAUAACUAUUUAUAGAUUCAUUCACUCAUUUUUGCAGGGCUAAUGAUCAAAUAUAAGACUUUGAGCAUGCUAUGUAAGCACUGUAUCACCAACUUACAUCACCAGCCUACUCUCAGUAGAUUUUAUUCAUGGGCAUGGAUAUAGCAAAGACAGUGGACCCUUGACUUAUGAACUCAAUUUGUUCUGCAGGGCUGGUUGUAGUCAAGAUGUCAGUUGGAGGCUCAGGCUCUAUUGGGAGCCGCGGCCGAGCCCGGUCGCCUUACUUGGCGGACGUGAGGCCUGUAGGAAAGAGCAAAGCCUGAGCUAGAUUACCCCUCCCAUCGAGUGUGCUAAGAUGGCGCUUAUCUCCUGCUUGGUAAACAACCCGCCCUGUAAGAUCUCCUGCUUCCUGCUUGGUAAACAACCCGCCCUGUAAGAUCUCCUGCUUCCUGCUUGGUAAACAACCCGCCCUGUAAGAUCUCCUGCUUCACAACCCGCCCUGUAAGAUAGUCUGCCUAGCAACAACUGAUGUUAGCCAAUCAGCCCGCAUCGCGCGCUUUGAACUGAUUGGCCACUGUAACCCUAUAAAAGUGAGUGCCUCUCCCGCCACGAAAGAAGAAGCAAAAGAAGCAGAAGAAGCACGCAAGGAGCCGCGGAGAGCGGACCUGUAGAGGCUUCGGGACAGACUGUAAAGAAGAAGCACGCAAGGAGCCGCGGGGAGCGGACCAACAGAGGCUUCGGCCGGGAGGAUUCCCGGGGCAGGCUGUACGGAGAAGGAAAAUAAAAGAAAAGGUUGUCCACUGCCA
Molecule: long non-coding RNA, 1322 nt
Organism: Cavia porcellus (domestic guinea pig)
Lineage: Eukaryota; Metazoa; Chordata; Mammalia; Rodentia; Caviidae
Exons: 2
Source: RefSeq, a predicted model, not a curated record